RNAcentral lists this ribosomal RNA (158 nucleotides) under Glomus sp. 'Bad Sachsa'. RNAcentral's name for it is "5.8S ribosomal RNA". It matches the Rfam family "5.8S ribosomal RNA". From Rfam's summary of the family: 5.8S ribosomal RNA (5.8S rRNA) is a component of the large subunit of the eukaryotic ribosome. It is transcribed by RNA polymerase I as part of the 45S precursor that also contains 18S and 28S rRNA. Functionally, it is thought that 5.8S rRNA may be involved in ribosome translocation. The record is from RNAcentral. Lineage: Eukaryota; Fungi; Glomeromycota; Glomeromycetes; Glomerales; Glomeraceae.
UCACUUUCAACAACGGAUCUCUUGGCUCUCGCAUCGAUGAAGAACGCAGCGAAAUGCGAUGAGUAGUGUGAAUUGCAGAAGUACCGUGAAUCAUCGAAUCUUUGAACGCGAAUUGCACUCUCUGGUAUUCCGGGGAGUAUGCCUGUUUGAGGGUCGCU